Molecule: long non-coding RNA, 724 nt
Organism: Stegostoma tigrinum
Lineage: Eukaryota; Metazoa; Chordata; Chondrichthyes; Orectolobiformes; Stegostomatidae
Exons: 3
Source: RefSeq, a predicted model, not a curated record
UGCUUGAAUGAUUUCGCUGGCCCUGGUUAAAACGAAACGUUGCAAUACAGAAAUAAUUUUAUUUUUGCAGCCGGAUUAGGAAGAUGGGGCUGCAAAUAUCUUAAACACGCGACUCCUUCCCACCCCCCAAGUUUCCAUCCAGGCCUCACUAUGUCACAUGAUGAUGGACAUGAUAUAAUCUAGUUACGAAACACAACAGCAGUGGGAUAGAAACACGUUGAAGCGACGCAAUCUGCUGCAAACAGUCCAGAUGCAAAGCUGGAAGUCUCGGUUACUUUAACCCUAGGUUUACGCACCAGCAGGUUUACCUUCACUUUUACAGUCUAUGUGUGUGGGAUGGAUGUUUCCCAAACUCCUCAGCAGCAGCAACACUUCACCUGAUGUCAGUAUCCGUUUCCAAAGGCGAGCCCGCCACCAAAUAUGGCUUGAGAAGAAUUAGGUUUUUGUUUUUUUAAAAAAAACAAUCAAAAGUUGCAUUUGCGGGGGUUGAGAAUUUUCGCAGAACCUGAUUCUUCGAAACGUCUGUGGUCUCAGUGCAGCUUCACUGGAUGUAGGUGCAAGAAUCUUCACAGGCAAUUUUGAGAUCUAUGCAACCAUCGUGACACCGGAAGCUUCAGAGUUAUGAGUGGGUGGAAGAUGUUGGAAUCUCAGGUGACUGUGCACAGAACUACCCACCUGCAGUGCCUGAGCUCGUGUCUUUUGUAGAAGAAGACUCUUGCGAUCC